This 280-nucleotide ribosomal RNA is filed under the name uncultured bacterium. RNAcentral's name for it is "partial 16S ribosomal RNA". It matches the Rfam family "Bacterial small subunit ribosomal RNA", at positions 506 to 784 of the family's 1533-position model. The record is from RNAcentral.
UGCCAGCAGCCGCGGUAAUACGGAGGGUGCAAGCGUUGCUCGGAAUCAUUGGGCGUAAAGCGCGUGUAGGCGGCACGCUAAGUCGAGUGUGAAAGCCCUGGGGCUCAACCCCGGAACUGCCUCUAAUACUGCUAGUCUUGAGUUCGAGAGAGGUGAGUGGAAUUCCGAGUGUAGAGGUGAAAUUCGUAGAUAUUCGGAGGAACACCAGUGGCGAAGGCGGCUCACUGGCUCGAUACUGACGCUGAGGUGCGAAAGCGUGGGGAGCAAACAGGAUUAGAUA